Fukomys damarensis (Damara mole-rat) is the source of this 2122-nucleotide RNA transcript. It is a transcript of the gene named chloride channel CLIC like 1, with no coding region annotated. The transcript is spliced from 11 exons. NCBI's taxonomy places the organism in Eukaryota, Metazoa, Chordata, Mammalia, Rodentia, Bathyergidae. The record is from RefSeq and is a predicted model, not a curated record.
AGCCUGGACUACAUAGUAAGACCUUGUCUCACAAAACAAAAAAGUGUUGCCUUAACACUAGAAGGAAGUAGUUUUUACUAUGAAAAGAAUUAUCUUUCAUUAAAGCUGUUAAUAUGUUUUAGUCUUACACAGGAUGCUGUGUUCUGUGCUCCUUUGUGAGUGUCUGCUGCUGCUCACUGGCUAUGCUCACGAUGACGACUGGAUUGACCCCACAGACAUGCUCAACUAUGAUGCUGCUUCAGGAACAAUGAGAAAAUCUCAGGUGAAAUAUGGUAUAUCAGAGAAAAAAGAUGCCAGUCCUGAAUUGUCACAUGCUGAUGAAAUGUCAGAAUGUUAUAAUAGACUUGAUUCUUUAACUCAUAAGAUUGAUGAGUGUGAAAAGAAAAAGCGGGAAGACUAUGAAAGUCAAAGUAAUCCUCUUUUUAGGAGAUACCUAAAUAAAAUUUUAAUUGAAGCCGGAAAGCUUGGACUUCCCGAUGAAAACAAAGAUGAUAUGCAUUAUGAUGCUGAGAUUAUCCUUAAAAGACAAACUUUAUUAGAAAUACAGAAGUUUCUCAGUGGAGAGGAAUGGAAACCAGGAGCCUUGGAUGAUGCACUGAGUGAUAUUUUAAUUAACUUUAAGCUUCAUGAUUUUGAAACAUGGAAGUGGAGAUUUGAAGAUUCCUUUGGAAUGGAUCCACACAGUGUGUUGAUGGUACUCCUGUGUCUGCUCUGCAUUGUGAUGUUAGUAGCUACGGAGCUGUGGACGCGUGUUCGUUGGUACACCCAGUUGAGACGUGUUUUUAUCAUCAGUUUUCUCGUCAGUUUGGGAUGGAAUUGGAUGUAUUUGUAUAAGCUAGCUUUUGCACAGCACCAGGCUGAAAUUGCCAAGAUGGAGCCAUUAGGCAAUGCAUGUGCAGAGAAGAUGGAUUGGAGUGGCAGUCUCUGGGAAUGGUUCAGAAGUUCAUGGACCUAUAAGGAUGACCCAUGCCAAAAAUACUAUGAGCUCUUAUUAGUCAACCCUAUUUGGUUGGUUCCACCGACAAAGGCACUGGCAGUUACAUUUACCAACUUUGUAACAGAACCAUUAAAGCACAUUGGAAAAGGAACUGGUGAAUUUAUUAAAGCACUCAUGAAGGAGAUCCCAGUGUUACUUCAGAUUCCUGUGCUGCUGAUUAUGGCGCUGGCCGUCCUGAGUUUCUGCUAUGGUACUGGAAAGUCAGUUGGCGUGGUGAGACAUUUAGGUGGUCCUGAGAGAGAACCUCCCCGGGCCCUGGAGCCAGGUGAUAGAAGACGGCAGAAGGAAACUGAUGAUAGACUCAGUGGUGGAGCAGGUGAUGCAGAUUUCUAUUACAGGGGCCAUUCUGGCUCCCUCGAGCAAGGCCCUUAUGACAAAGCACUUGAGUGUAGAAGAGAUGUUUUGAGGGAGAGAGACGUUGACUUGAGAUUUCAGACUGGCAACAAGAGCCCUGAAGUGCUCCGGGCAUUUGAUUUACCAGAUACAGAGGCACAAGAGCAUCCCACGGUGGUACCCAGUCAUAAGUCACCUGUUGUGGAUACAAAGGCCCGAGAGACUGGUGGCAUCACAGAAGAAAGCACCAGGACAGAAAGCAGCCAGGCUGCUAAGCCUGCCUCUGGCCAAGCGGUCUCAAGUGCCCCUGAAGGCUCACCUGGCAUGGAAAAGGCCCCGCUAAAGAGUGAAGCUGAAGGCAGCCCCCAGAAGGGCAGCGUGUGCAGCCCAUUGUGUGGAAGGGAUCCUGUUAGCAGCCCCUGCAGCUAGAGGGACAGACAUGGGCCACAGCUCUGGAGUCUUCUUUUGAUUUUGGUAAAAUAAUCCAUUUGGGAAUAUGACCUAACUUUACAGCUAGCAAAACAUGUUUCCGCUGUUAAAUGAUUAGAGCAAUUAUGGCAAGAACCGACUAAAGCGAACUGAACCUAUCAAGGCCAGUUAUUUCAGAACCAUAAGGCUUGUUUGCUGACUAGCUGUGUGUGCCACUGAAAUUAAGGCUCGCAGUAAAAAAGCUUUUAAGAAAAUCAGAAUGGGGACAAACAGCUGUUAAAAGCAUUUUUUAAAUGGAAUAAUGUUGAAUGUUUACAGGAUCUCAAAGAACCACUGUAUACACAAAAUAAACAUUUACUUUUA